GACGAACGCUGGCGGCGUGCUUAACACAUGCAAGUCGAACGGAAAGGCCCUGCUUUUGUGGGGUUCUCGAGUGGCGAACGGGUGAGUAACACGUGAGUAACCUGCCCUUGACUUUGGGAUAACUUCAGGAAACUGGGGCUAAUACCGGAUAGGAGCUCCUGCUGCAUGGUGGGGGUUGGAAAGUUUCGGCGGUUGGGGAUGGACUCGCGGCUUAUCAGCUUGUUGGUGGGGUAGUGGCUUACCAAGGCUUGGACGGGUGGCCGGCCUGAGAGGGUGACCGGCCACAUUGGGACUGAGAUACGGCCCAGACUCCUACGGGAGGCAGCAGUGGGGAAUAUUGCACAAUGGGCGGAAGCCUGAUGCAGCAAUGCCGCGUGCGGGAUGACAGCCUUCGGGUUGUAAACCGCUUUCGCCUGUGACGAAGCGUGAGUGACGGUAAUGGGUAAAGAAGCACCGGCUAACUACGUG
Molecule: ribosomal RNA, 468 nt
Filed under: uncultured bacterium
Lineage: Bacteria
Description: partial 16S ribosomal RNA
Rfam family: Bacterial small subunit ribosomal RNA
Source: RNAcentral